Unclassified non-coding RNA from Neogale vison (American mink), 320 nucleotides. Its record names the gene 7SK. It matches the Rfam family "7SK RNA". Rfam says of the family: 7SK was discovered as an abundant small nuclear RNA in the mid-70s but a possible function has only recently been suggested. Two independent studies have found that 7SK RNA binds the CDK9/cyclin T complex (known as elongation factor P-TEFb). The record is from Ensembl. Lineage: Eukaryota; Metazoa; Chordata; Mammalia; Carnivora; Mustelidae.
UGUGAGGGCAAUCUUGCUACAUCUGUCAUCUCAUUGAUCGCCAGGGUUAAGUCAGCAGAUCUGGCUCAUGAGGCAGGUAUCCCCAACCUCCCUCACCUCUCCAUGUGUGUUACUCCAAGCUGAGGCUGGGUCAGAGAACAAACUUCCCCAAUGGAGAAGGACCACUUGUGGGCCAAAUGUACAGAAAUAGCUGUGCGCCCCUGCUAGUACCUCCAAACACGCUCCCAAGGUCCAUUUGUAGGAGAACGUAGGGAAGUCAAACUUCCAAGAUGGCAGACACAACCAAAUGAGGCUCCACAUGUGGCAGGCUGCCUUUNNNN